AAUAUCAAAAAUGCAUUUUGAUGCCUUAGAAGUUUAUUUUUGGAGUAUUUUCCUUUAAAUAUGAUUGUAUUAAUAUAUUUUGAGAGUGAUUUUCAGAAGACUCAUAAGUUGAUAAUUUGUGACUCAAAAUAGAUCAUACAAGAAAAGUUUAAUGUACACUAUUUCACUCUGUAUAUUAGAAAACAUAGUUGGGCACUGACACAGACCCAAGGCAGCAAGAAGCUAACCAGGCACCAUGCGAGAGAUCGUGCACAUUCAGGCAGACCAGUGCGGCAACCAGAUCGGUGCCAAGUUUUGGGAGGUCAUCAGUGAUGAGCAUGGUAUAGACCCCACUGGAAGUUACCAUGGAGACAGUGAUUUGCAACUGGAAAGAAUCAAUGUAUACUACAAUGAAGCAAUUGGUAAUAAAUAUGUGCCUAGGGCCAUCCUGGUGGACCUGGAGCCAGGCACAAUGGACUCAGUCAGGUCUGGAUCAUUUGGGCAGAUCUUCAGGCCAGACAACUUCGUGUUCGGCCAGAGUGGUGCAGGAAAUAACUGGGCAAAGGGCCACUACACAGAUGGUGCCAAGCUGGUGGACUCUGUCCUGGACGUGGUGAGGAACGAGUCAGAAAGCUGUGACUGUCUUCAGUGUUUCCAGCUGACCCACUCACUGGGGGGGAGGCACUGACUCAGGCAUGGGGACCCUGCUCAUCAGCAAGAUCAGA
RNA transcript from Mus musculus (house mouse), 704 nucleotides. It is a transcript of the gene named tubulin, beta 2a, pseudogene 2, with no coding region annotated. Lineage: Eukaryota; Metazoa; Chordata; Mammalia; Rodentia; Muridae. The record is from RefSeq and is marked inferred. The transcript has a single exon.